RNAcentral lists this ribosomal RNA (468 nucleotides) under uncultured bacterium. RNAcentral describes it as "partial 16S ribosomal RNA". It matches the Rfam family "Bacterial small subunit ribosomal RNA", at positions 28 to 507 of the family's 1533-position model. The record is from RNAcentral.
GACGAACGCUGGCGGCGUGCUUAACACAUGCAAGUCGAACGGAAAGGCCCUGCUUUUGUUGGGUGCUCGAGUGGCGAACGGGUGAGUAACACGUGAGUAACCUGCCCUUGACUUUGGGAUAACUUCAGGAAACUGGGGCUAAUACCGGAUAGGAGCUCCUGCUGCAUGGUGGUGGUUGGAAAGUUUCGGCGGUUGGGGAUGGACUCGCGGCUUAUCAGCUUGUUGGUGGGGUAGUGGCUUACCAAGGCUUUGACGGGUAGCCGGCCUGAGAGGGUGACCGGCGACAUUGGGACUGAGGUACGGCCCAGACUCCUACGGGAGGCAGCAGUGGGGAAUAUUGCACAAUGGGCGGAAGCCUGAUGCAGCAACGCCGCGUGCGGGAUGACGGCCUUCGGGUUGUAAACCGCUUUCGCCUGUGACGAAGCGUGAGUGACGGUAAUGGGUAAAGAAGCACCGGCUAACUACGUG